This 497-nucleotide ribosomal RNA is filed under the name uncultured bacterium. RNAcentral's name for it is "partial 16S ribosomal RNA". It matches the Rfam family "Bacterial small subunit ribosomal RNA", at positions 28 to 507 of the family's 1533-position model. The record is from RNAcentral.
GAUGAACGCUGGCGGCGUGCCUAAUACAUGCAAGUCGAGCGAACGGACGAGAAGCUUGCUUCUCUGAUGUUAGCGGCGGACGGGUGAGUAACACGUGGAUAACCUACCUAUAAGACUGGGAUAACUUCGGGAAACCGGAGCUAAUACCGGAUGAUAUUUUGAACCGCAUGGUUCAAAAGUGAAAGACGGUCUUGCUGUCACUUAUAGAUGGAUCCGCGCUGCAUUAGCUAGUUGGUAAGGUAACGGCUUACCAAGGCAACGAUGCAUAGCCGACCUGAGAGGGGGAUAGCCCACACUAGAGCGUAAACACGGUCCAGGCGACUAAGGUAGGGAGCAGUAGGGAAUCGUCCGCAAUGGGCGAAAGCCUGACGGAGCAGCGCCGCGUGAGUUGUGAAGGUCUUGGGAUCGUAAAACUCUGUUAUUAGGGAAGAACAUAUGUGUAAGUAACUGUGCACAGCUUGACGGUACCUAAUCAGAAAGCCACGGCUAACUACGUG